This 255-nucleotide ribosomal RNA is filed under the name uncultured bacterium. Its description in RNAcentral is "partial 16S ribosomal RNA". It matches the Rfam family "Bacterial small subunit ribosomal RNA", at positions 524 to 776 of the family's 1533-position model. The record is from RNAcentral.
UACGGGGGGGAGCAAGCGUUGUUCGGAUUUACUGGGCGUAAAGGGCGCGUAGGCGGUCGUGACAAGUCACUUGUGAAAUCUCCGGGCUUAACUCGGAACGGUCAAGUGAUACUGUCGGACUAGAGUACAGAAGGGGCAACUGGAAUUCUCGGUGUAGCGGUGAAAUGCGUAGAUAUCGAGAGGAACACCGAUGGCGAAGGCAGCCCCCUGGGUCAAGACUGACGCUCAUGCACGAAAGCGUGGGGAGCAAACAGG